Long non-coding RNA from Bombus huntii, 311 nucleotides. RefSeq lists it as uncharacterized. The transcript is spliced from 2 exons. The record is from RefSeq and is a predicted model, not a curated record. Lineage: Eukaryota; Metazoa; Arthropoda; Insecta; Hymenoptera; Apidae.
AAAGCCAUGAGAUUCUUACUUUGCGUUGCAGUCAUUUUUAUGAUUGCCUUUAUUUCUGCGAGCAAUGCUAACCCAGAACCUAAUCCUUCGCCAGAGGCGGAUCCGGAAGCAAUUAACCUAAAGAAAAUCUUGGGAAAACUUGGAGUAGUGUUGUCUCACUUGGCAUAACCGACCUCAACGAUACGUGUACGACGGGGUGCAGGCACGACCAACGGCUUUUAAAUCUGACGAGUUUAUAUGCAUAUAUGUAUACGUAACUAAUUCGAAACAUGUAGAAAUUGGCCAUAUAAAUUUUUUGUCGUUUGACUAGA